This 497-nucleotide ribosomal RNA is filed under the name uncultured bacterium. RNAcentral's name for it is "partial 16S ribosomal RNA". It matches the Rfam family "Bacterial small subunit ribosomal RNA", at positions 28 to 507 of the family's 1533-position model. The record is from RNAcentral.
GAUGAACGCUGGCGGCGUGCCUAAUACAUGCCAGUCGAGCGAACAGACGAGGAGCUUGCUCCUCUGACGUUAGCGGCGGACGGGUGAGUAACACGUGGAUAACCUACCUAUAAGACUGGGAUAAAUUCGGGAAACCGGAGCUAAUACCAGAUAAUAUAUUGAACAGCAUGGUUCAAUAGUGAAAGACGGUUUUGCUGUCACUUAUAGAUGGAUCCGCGCCGCAUUAGCUAGUUGGUAAGGUAACGGCUUACCAAGGCAACGAUGCGUAGCCGACCUGAGAGGGUGAACGGCCACACUGGAACUGAGACACGGUCCAGACUCCUACGGGAGGCAGCAGUGGGGAAUCUUCCGCAAUGGGCGAAAGCCUGACGGAGCAACGCCGCGUGAGGGAUGAAGGUCUUCGGAUCGUAAAACUCUGUUAUUAGGGAAGAACAAAUGUGUAAGUAACUAUGCACGUCUUGACGGUACCGAAUCAGAAAGCCACGGCUAACUACGUG